Long non-coding RNA from Salvia miltiorrhiza (redroot sage), 1444 nucleotides. RefSeq lists it as uncharacterized. Lineage: Eukaryota; Viridiplantae; Streptophyta; Magnoliopsida; Lamiales; Lamiaceae. The transcript is spliced from 2 exons. The record is from RefSeq and is a predicted model, not a curated record.
CCGAAGUUAUCAGACCCACGCCUUAUUUUGCAGAAAACUUGUCUGCAAUAGAAGUCUUCUUCCAACAGGACUCCAAUUUUGUUAUUCUUCUUCCUACAAGCGAUUUGCAUCCUGAAGAUCUUCUUCUGAUUAUGAAUAAUAAAGCUCCUGCUGCGUCCCUAUCUUCUUGCGAAUAAUUGUGGAUAUCAUUUCAUGGAUACAUAUACAAUAAGAACUCAUCUUAUAGUUAUCCAUAUAUAUUACGCAGCAACCGAACUAAUAAAUCCAAAUUUCAGAUUCUUCAAGGUUAUCAGCUGCUAUCUCUGAUAAGAAUUCGUAGGUUAUCUCCAAGUAAUUAAGUAGAAAGAGACUUCUAUUCAACAUAAGAAACCACCACUAUAUAAAGAGUGCUAAAGCUCAAAAUUUUUUCUUCAAACUCAAGCUUGGAUCGCAGAAAUCCUCUUCCUCUUUCAAUUUUCUUUCGUUGACAACGUUGAGGUUGAAUCUUGAUAACUGGAGAUCCAGUAUAUAAUCACUUGACUUUAAAUGGAGUAGAGUGUGGAGAGAAGCGGCGGCGGGAUGGGCUCCUUGUUGCUGCCCUGUUUUACCGGAGCUGCGUGCGUAGCGGCAGUCCCCAGAAGCGGCGGCGGUGCGGCUCUCCUCCUCGCUGGUGCUAUCCGUCGGAGAAUGUGUUGUGCUUCCAGCUAGGGAGACAAAUGCGGAGCUUGGAGGUUAAACUCGCCGGAUUACCAUCAAUGGCGUCGACAUUUAUGCAGCAAUUCGCAAAGAAGAAGACCUUCGGGAAGCGAUCGUCGAAGAAGUAUUUGGAGGAGGCGCUGUACAAGAAGCUGUUCAGCGAUGGCGGUGAUGGAGGAAGCAGCGUGGAACCAACUGACGAACCACCAGCUCCAAUUCAUUCGUUCCGCCCUGAGAUGAGUAUUAGGAGGGGAGUACUUGCAUCAGAAUGCUAAGAGGCUAUGUAGCAGUUCUUCAAGCGAGGGAGAGAGCAGCAGGAAAAAAAGUUGAUGCUUCCAAAGAGAAAAGAACUCGUCAAUCUGAGAUGAGUGCAUAUUUCUAUUUUCGAGAUACUUUCCGCUCAGAUGGUAUGGAAUUGCUUUGACGACAUGGUCCCAAGGGAUCAUAUUUCUCUACGAAGUCUUCACCAUCAUAGUAUCCAUGACGCUUUAAAUGAUUCCGGCUUCUGAUGGAUGGCGUUGCAAAAAAAAGAUUUGAGAUUUGAGUUCAGCUUUGAAUGCGUCAGUAGAUACUAAGAAGAAGGCAGGAGCUCGAAGAUAGACCUUUGUCCGUCAUCACUGCAGUCUUAAAGUUGCGUGUGGGAAAACUAUGAAAUUCAUUGCUUUGCCUUGCUUGAUUAGUUGAUCUUGAUAUAAAACUCAACUCAAAUCAUAAAAUUUUGUUUCUUUUGCAAUGUAUCUUGAACGCAGAAGCAUAAUAAGAUUCUCCA